Molecule: ribosomal RNA, 171 nt
Filed under: Keithomyces carneus
Lineage: Eukaryota; Fungi; Ascomycota; Sordariomycetes; Hypocreales; Clavicipitaceae
Description: partial 28S ribosomal RNA
Source: RNAcentral
GACAGCCGCGGAUCUUCUUCCGCAGCGAGUCGCCGCCCCCCAAAUGACUUGGCGGCCUCGUCGCGGCCCUCCUCUGCGUAGUAUAGCACACCUCGCAACAGGAGCCCGGCGAAUGGCCACUGCCGUAAAACCCCCCAACUUUUUCAGAGUUGACCUCGAAUCAGGUAGGAA